GACGAACGCUGGCGGCGUGCUUAACACAUGCAAGUCGAACGGAAAGGCCCUGCUUUUGUGGGGUGCUCGAGUGGCGAACGGGUGAGUAACACGUGAGUAACCUGCCCUUGACUUUGGGAUAACUUCAGGAAACUGGGGCUAAUACCGGAUAGGAGCUCCUGCUGCAUGGUGGGGGUUGGAAAGUUUCGGCGGUUGGGGCUGGACUCGCGGCUUAUCAGCUUGUUGGUGGGGUAGUGGCUUACCAAGGCUUUGACGGGUAGCCGGCCUGAGAGGGUGACCGGCCACAUUGGGACUGAGAUACGGCCCAGACUCCUACGGGAGGCAGCAGUGGGGAAUAUUGCACAAUGGGCGGAAGCCUGAUGCAGCAACGCCGCGUGCGGGAUACCGGCCUUCGGGUUGUAAACCGCUUUCGCCUGUGACGAAGAGUGAGUGACGGUAAUGGGUAAAGAAGCACCGGCUAACUACGUG
This 468-nucleotide ribosomal RNA is filed under the name uncultured bacterium. Its description in RNAcentral is "partial 16S ribosomal RNA". It matches the Rfam family "Bacterial small subunit ribosomal RNA", at positions 28 to 507 of the family's 1533-position model. The record is from RNAcentral.